AUUUUUUUUAUUGCAGUUCUUCUCUUUUAUAUAGAUAUUGCAACAGAUACAAAUCUGGACACAUUUUAAAACCAAACGAUAGCUAUUCCAUGUUAAUAAAGUGUUCAUAUACAUUACUCUGUAUCUUGAAAAUCAAAUGACACUGGAAUAAAACAAUAAAAUAAAAGACCCAUUAUCAGUCACACCAGAAGAUGCUCGUUAUUUGUGAAAUCAUGUCAUCUGGUCUUUUAAAAUUGAAGCACCAUGCGAUGGCUCAGACAUUCUUCCCGCUAUAGGUUUGGAACAGAAUUGAAGGAGUCAUGAAUUGUUCAGUAGGAAGGUUUAGCCCAAACGAUAACUAUCGGUGCCAAACUGGUACAAAGAACUGAAAAGGAAAAAUAUUGACAUUUUACACAAUAAAACAAUGCAGUUGUUUCAUAGAGCAAUUGAUUUGAAACAACGGGGGGGAUGAAGUGAAAUGGCUAGUUUAGUCUCUAUUGAAAGGUUAUGACCACAUCAUUUGCCACUAGAUGGCCUCUUUAACCACAGAAAGAGAUCUUGAUGACAGCUCAUUGCAAUUAUAAAGAUCAUCGGUGACUCGUUACUUUCAUGUUCACUGUGAUCUUCACCAGGGCUUUGUGAAUCGGGCUGCAAACACACGGCUCACAAAAAAAACAACGACAUUUUCUUGCAACCCCUUUGACAAAUAUAAUUUCCAAAUAAAAAGUUGACAACGCUGAAUCCAAAGCAUUGCCAAACGCCAGCUGAGCGACCAGGGUUGUAAAAUCCCAGUAACUUUCCUCAAAUUCCCAGAAAUAAACAAGAAAUCUGGAAUCGUCCAAUCAGGAUUUCUGGAGGAAAUAUGGGACAUUUAAGUAAAGUUACCAAAAAAUUACAACCCUGUGAACAACAAAUGACAGUGUUUCUGUAUUUUCCUCCCCUUCAUGUGUAAACAAAGUUAGCAGGGGAACCCUCGUCAUCAAAGUUAGCAGGGGAACCCUCGUCAUCAAAGUUAGCAGGGGAACCCUCGUAAUCAAAGUUAGCAGGGGAACCCUCGUAAUCAAAGUUAGCAGGGGAACCCUCGUAAUCAAAGUUAGCAGGGGAACCCUCGUAAUCAAAGUUAGCAGGGGGAACCCUCGUAAUCAAAGUUAGCAGGGGAACCCUCGUCAGGACAGACAAUGGUGUACAACUGUACAAACCCCAACAGAGUCACUGGAAGGUGUUUCUGGUCUUUAGUCGUGUUAAGAACCACGUGUUAAACCCCAACAGUCACUGGAAGGUGUUUCUGGUCUUUAGUCGUGUUAAGAACCACGUGUUAAACCCCAACAGUCACUGGAAGGUGUUUCUGGUCUUUAGUCGUGUUAAGAACCACGUGUUAAACCCCAACAGUCACUGGAAGGUGUUUCUGGUCUUUAGUCGUGUUAAGAACCACAUGUUAAACCCCAACAGUCACUGGAAGGUGUUUCUGGUCUUUAGUCGUGUUAAGAUCCACGUGUUAAACCCCAACAGUCACUGGAAGGUGUUUCUGGUCUUUAGUCGUGUUAAGAUCCACGUGUUAAACCCCAACAGAGUCACUGGAAG
This is a long non-coding RNA of Oncorhynchus tshawytscha (Chinook salmon), 1560 nucleotides long. Lineage: Eukaryota; Metazoa; Chordata; Actinopteri; Salmoniformes; Salmonidae. The record is from Ensembl.